AGCACCUGCUUAAGAUCUCUGCUUGCAGAGAUGUUGGCUAUUAAGGUCUGGUUCAAGUUCUAGUUUGAUCUGUCUCUCAAAACGAGCCUUUCUGCAUUCUGAGCCUCUCAGUUGUGCUGGAUUUCUGGGGCUGAUGAGUGUGUAUGGACAACCACAGGGAGAGGCAAGUGACUUCUGGGAGAAACGACCUUCAACCUUGAAUGGACCUAUGGAAAAAGACCGCAGCGCAUGGUUUUGGCCCUUUUUUCCUGAGUCCUGUUCUCUAUUCAUUAUUUUGUGAAAAGUGAAUUCUCAUACCUGCUUCUACAUUUCAAUCUUGUGAUACUCCACUGUGGUUGAAGCGUAUGAGGAAAAUCCAGCCUCACACAGGAGGCCACCACCCCUUUGCAACCUGAUUAGAGAAAAAUGAACGAUGGAGGAAAGGUCAACCUAAAGAGGCUUUGACUGUACACUUAAGAAUCCUCACAGUCCGGCUCUGCAGGUUGACGCUACCAGGAGGAGGACAGAAGAUCUACUA
Molecule: long non-coding RNA, 517 nt
Organism: Rhinolophus ferrumequinum (greater horseshoe bat)
Lineage: Eukaryota; Metazoa; Chordata; Mammalia; Chiroptera; Rhinolophidae
Exons: 3
Source: RefSeq, a predicted model, not a curated record